GACGAACGCUGGCGGCGUGCUUAACACAUGCAAGUCGAACGAAGAGCGAUGUAAGCUUGCUUCUAUCAAUCUUAGUGGCGAACGGGUGAGUAACGCGUAAUCAACCUGCCCUUCAGAGGGGGACAACAGUUGGAAACGACUGCUAAUACCGCAUACGAUCUAAUCUCGGCAUCGAGGAUAGAUGAAAGGUGGCCUCUACAUGUAAGCUAUCACUGAAGGAGGGGAUUGCGUCUGAUUAGCUAGUUGGAGGGGUAACGGCCCACCAAGGCGAUGAUCAGUAGCCGGUCUGAGAGGAUGAACGGCCACAUUGGGACUGAGACACGGCCCAGACUCCUACGGGAGGCAGCAGUGGGGAAUCUUCCGCAAUGGACGAAAGUCUGACGGAGCAACGCCGCGUGAGCGAUGACGGCCUUCGGGUUGUAAAGCUCUGUUAAUCGGGACGAAAGGCCUUCUUGCGAAUAGUGAGAAGGAUUGACGGUACCGGAAUAGAAAGCCACGGCUAACUACGUG
RNAcentral lists this ribosomal RNA (510 nucleotides) under uncultured bacterium. RNAcentral describes it as "partial 16S ribosomal RNA". It matches the Rfam family "Bacterial small subunit ribosomal RNA", at positions 28 to 507 of the family's 1533-position model. The record is from RNAcentral.